GAGAGCUCUGCAUAGAGCAGCUGUACAAGAACACCAGUGCAUGGGAGGAAGGAGAAUGCGGCACCCAGCAUCACACGGACUUUUGUGUUGGUGGAGAUGAGAGGCCAAGUGAGGUGGAAUCUGGGGCUGACUGCUGGAGCCAGGGGACACCUGCCACCGAUUCCAAUGACUCCAGCCAUGCUUCUCAGGGACUGCCAGCAUCCAGCAGACCUGUGCCAAGGCUAGCUUCUUUGUCUGCACUGAUGUUGAGCGGGAUGGAAGAGAGGAAGGGAGAUUUAGAGCCUCAUUCAGCACAGAGUCUUCUGCAGCACCAGCACCUUAUGGCUUCCAGGCUGCAAACCAUGGGCUUCUGCAGUUCCCGGGGAAGCCUGACCCAGCCUCACUGCCUGAGGAAUGAUUGCACCAGCCAUGAAGAGGGGCUUGGAAGCAAGACAGCAAGUCAGUUUUUUAAACAGUGUUUUCUUCUACAAAGAGAAACUUGAGUCAAAAUAAAAGUUGAGAAAUACUGUAGCUAGAAAAUAAAUUUCAAAGAUCUGUUUAAAGUUAACUUAAAAAAUGAAUUGUGUGGAAUCUGGUGUUCAAGAGGCAUUAAUGAUUUAAGGAGAGUGAUAUGUAACUUCCCGUAGCUUCUGUUUGUGGGCAAUUAUUUUUAUAUUGUGUUGGUAGAAAUAUAAUGUAAUGGUACAACCCUCUGCAUAGUGACCUGUACAACCCCUUACAUGUGACCUACUUGGAAAGGGUUUUUAAAAUUCAUUACAUAGUUCAUAUCAUAUCUUUGAUUUGUUUAUCAGGAUUUACAUUGAGCACUAAUUGUAAAGGGAAAAACAACUUUUAGGCAAGAAAAAUCACUACUAAAUUUUUUUCAGCUUUUACAGGAAUCUGAAUGCUGUACAACCAUUUCAGGCACUGGUUAAUAAAAAUAAGAAUGUUGAAAUGCUCUUCACAUAGAGCUAAGUAAAAUAUAGAGCACAUAUUGAUA
Myotis daubentonii (Daubenton's bat) is the source of this 979-nucleotide long non-coding RNA. RefSeq lists it as uncharacterized. The record is from RefSeq and is a predicted model, not a curated record. NCBI's taxonomy places the organism in Eukaryota, Metazoa, Chordata, Mammalia, Chiroptera, Vespertilionidae.